GUGAUCACUUCAGCAGCACAUAAACUAAAACUGGAACGAUACAGAGAAGAUUAGCACGGCCCUUGCAUAAGGAUGACAUGCAAAUUCAUGAAGCAUUCCAUUUUUUU
Camelus dromedarius (Arabian camel) is the source of this 107-nucleotide small nuclear RNA. The record is from Ensembl. Lineage: Eukaryota; Metazoa; Chordata; Mammalia; Artiodactyla; Camelidae.